Molecule: long non-coding RNA, 249 nt
Filed under: Actinidia chinensis (golden kiwifruit)
Lineage: Eukaryota; Viridiplantae; Streptophyta; Magnoliopsida; Ericales; Actinidiaceae
Description: long non-coding RNA (ACHI_LNC003777)
Source: RNAcentral
GGAACUAAAUCCCAAUUCAAGAUCCUUAAAAACCAAUUCCACAAGUUUCAGAGGCUAUCCUUUUGUGAGUCAUUCAAUUUCUUCUAGCCCUAGAAGUUUAGCCAUACGUGUCCAUCAUUCAUUCUCAAUUGCAACACAUAGACACACAAUUCGAAUUUUGUUUGGGAGUUCUGUUUAGAUUUAUAUUGUCUGGCUUUAUUGGAGAUCAUUGAUCUCCCAAUUGUUGAUUACAGUGAAAUUUGGUUUCUG